This is a long non-coding RNA of Drosophila yakuba, 2728 nucleotides long. RefSeq lists it as uncharacterized. Lineage: Eukaryota; Metazoa; Arthropoda; Insecta; Diptera; Drosophilidae. The record is from RefSeq and is a predicted model, not a curated record. The transcript has 2 exons.
UCUAAGAGUGGAAUGCCAUACCUCGUUGAAUUCGUAAUAAAUUUUACUAUCCACCGGUGCUCAAAAAAGGAAAAUGUAAUUUUUUUUUGUAAUUUUUUGCAAAUUUUGAUGAAGGUACUUACCGAAAAUGCAGAAAUUUGUCAAAUAAAUUCCUUACAUUAUAAAAAAAACAAACCAAUAACAUGCAGCGAGAUCAGAACGGCGAUAUUUUAUUUAUUAAAUCACAUAAAUGCCUCUUAAACACCUUGAACAAUAAACCAUUAAGUUAGCCGCUGGCCAUAUAGGCUGACCUCGUUCCUGGGCCACAGAGGCAUACCCUCAAUACCCGCAACACACCCAAAAGCCAGUGCCCCGAGGCGUUAAGCAGGAAGGCGUUUUCACCUCUCAUGGCAUAACGCGCAUACGCACCGUUGUACGGCGGGGGCGGUGUGUGUGCGUAAGUGAAGGCAAACAAACAUAAAAGCAAACAAUAAAUGGAAAAAAUAAACCGUACACCCCGGCUUUUUUGUGAAAAUAAAUGAUUAUUUAAUAUUUAUUUUCAUGUUGCUUGAGGAAGGUGAAAGGUGGACGAUGGACGGUGGCCAACGGCUGCAGCAUUUUUCAUGCCACUUCAAGUGAGUCUAAGUGCCUCGCCGGGCCCGGCCAUUAAUGCCAACUGAUUGGUCAGUAGAGAACUAACCAUUCGAGCCAAGGAAGCACCAGACAAAAUACCCCGACAUACACACACACAUGUAUUUUUUAUUUUGCCAACGUUUCUGAUUAUUUACGCCUGAUAGGGCCCAGUUCUGGAGGGUGUAAAAAUGAUUGAAUGUGCCUGGCAGUGAAAUCGGAAUUGGAUGGGUCUGCCUGGGCUUUGUUGUCUGGGCUUAGUUUUAGUUGUGAAUGGAUGUUUUUGGGCUUGGGCUAACGAAUUACUGGGAGCUCGAGUGAUUUAUUGAUUUAAAUGGGAACUUUAAUACAUGGGCAGAAAAUAAGCAACACUAGCUGACGCAAUAAAAAGCAAUCGUGUCACGGCUCAAUGCAAAUAACAAAUUAUUUCAACUGUACUGAAAAUUAUUAGUUAGCUUAGUUUUCCAAGCAUAUACAGUCAAUUGGCUGUCACAUUAGUUACGUAAUAUUUGACGAGACUGUAUAAAAACGCUAUUGUUUUUACCUUGAUACUCUGAGCAAAAAAAAAAUCAGUGAACCGUAGAGACAAUCAAAAUGCGCACACACACGCUCAAAGUGCUGCCUCAAUCACUCAGGAAGAGCUAAAAAACCUUUGCAGUUUUUUCACUUCCACAUCGAUGCGAAAGUGAAAAGGGCUGACCAUUUGAGGGAGGGAAAUUCCGGCCGAAAGAAGGAUUCAAGUGGUUGGUCGGCUUGACGGCACGUUUAAUGAAUUGGAAGCUUAGCUCUUCUUCGGCUCCCUUUUGGGGCCAGCGGUCAGGCGAAUUAAUUAAAGCACAUAAAAAAUGGUCGAGUGCUAGGAAUGCAAUAAAGUCAACCAGGUUCGGCCGCUCGGCAGGGGAAAUGGGAAAUGGGAAAGCAACUAACGGCAGCAACUAUGCAUAGCUAUAGAGCACCCGAGCACGCAUCAUUUAAGCGCUAAAUUAUAGCAUACUUUUAUGCGGCAGGUUAUAAUUCACUGUACGUGCGAAAUGCAGUUGCAGUCCAAAACUGACAGUGGUUCUGGUGGCGCUGGUGGUGCUGGUGGUACUGGUGUGGUGUUUGGUGCCACUGUGGAAAAUUAUCAUUUUAAUUGCGCAUUUCCCAACGGCACAUAAAAACAGCAAUGGCAGAACGGUGAAAAAAUAGUCGGCAAACCAAAAGCGCCGAAGUCAAAGCCCAAGUAAAUAAAUUAUGCUGCAGACUUGUGCAAUAACUAAAAUUAACAAAAACAACAGCAUUUUAUUGCACGUCUCGCCGUUUUAUUUGCAUUAAUUUGCUCCUGCAGCCGCGCAAAACGAGCAACGAAAGCGCACGAAACCACUGACAGAAAAAAAUUGCAUUCGCAUCUGGAGGUAAAAAAGAGUAUAGGAAAUGCGCUCCGCCCCCGUCUGUCCAUCGUCAAAUGUGCACAAAUUAAAAAGCCAACGCCGCGAAAUGAAAACAUGAUAAAGUCGGGAGCGCAUCCCCAAACAAAGUUGCCAUCGAAAUUUGGUCACGUGCCACCUCGCUCCGAAAAACGCCCAAAACGCGACUGUGUGGAGUUAUUUACGUGCCGCGCACAUUUUUUGGCGCUUAAUUCAUGCUCUUUCUGGGAGAGGGGGCAGGCUGCAUGGUGCGGGGUGCGGAGUGCAGGGAAGCGGCUGGCGGAGCGACAGAAGCAGGAGCAGAAGUGAACAAACAAACAGCCAAAAGGACGCACAAACAAAAUGGAACUUCUUGCGCGCAUAGAGAGACAACGUCAGGACAUCGCUGGCAUUUUGACUGCCCCUCCGCUGCUUUUUGGGCGGACGCAGACGGAGCUCCAAUCGCCAUAUAGCAACCACUCGCUGUUUGUUGUCUCAGCAUUUGUUUGCACAGCCACUGCGAAACUGCAGCAUACUUCGGGGCGCUGGCGCAACGCGGCGUAUACUUAAUUUGCGGUUGGCGCUGGUCACAGCACGUAGCCGCUAAGUAUGCUACGCCUAAUGACCAGCAGAGGCGAGUGGCGCCAGGACAUCGUCUCCGCUGGCGGGAUGUGGCAAUGCUCUGACUGCAGAGACUGUGUUGCGCCGAAGAACAUGGUAUAACAGUUUAGGUU